GGGCGGGAUAGUCCGGGCAGCUCGGCGUUGCCUGUCGCCCGAAAUCGUCGAUAUGCGGGGGACGAAUCCCGUGGGAGAUGCACACCCUCACCGUCGAGGUGCUCACAACCUCAACCAUGAGGCUCCGUCCAGCGGGGAUGGCGUUGAUGCAGGGGCUUGUCGGAGGACAUGUUCCUGCAUCUUAACCGUGGACACCGGCCGAGGCCCGGAAGGGAGCAGGCUAACUGCGGACACCCAUCGCUCGCUGGGCAGCGGGGCUGAGAAGGGGUGUGGGCACUCGCAGUGGGGAUGCAGCGACCACGGGCUCCCGCCC
This 313-nucleotide signal recognition particle RNA is filed under the name Methermicoccus shengliensis. RNAcentral's name for it is "signal recognition particle sRNA". It matches the Rfam family "Archaeal signal recognition particle RNA". The record is from RNAcentral. Lineage: Archaea; Methanobacteriati; Methanobacteriota; Methanomicrobia; Methanosarcinales; Methermicoccaceae.